CGCGUAGGCGGUCUGGUCAGUCGGAUGUGAAAGCCCUGGGCUCAACCUGGGAAUUGCAUUCGAUACUGCCAAACUAGAAUGUGGAAGAGGGAAGUGGAAUUUCCGGUGUAGCGGUGAAAUGCGUAGAUAUCGGAAGGAACACCAGUGGCGAAGGCGGCUUCCUGGUCCAACAUUGACGCUGAGGUGCGAAAGCGUGGGGAGCGAACAGGAUUAGAUACCCUGGUAGUCC
Molecule: ribosomal RNA, 229 nt
Filed under: uncultured bacterium
Lineage: Bacteria
Description: partial 16S ribosomal RNA
Rfam family: Bacterial small subunit ribosomal RNA
Source: RNAcentral